AUUGAACGCUGGCGGCAUGCCUUACACAUGCAAGUCGAACGGCAGCACGGGUGCUUGCACCUGGUGGCGAGUGGCGAACGGGUGAGUAAUACAUCGGAACAUGUCCUGUAGUGGGGGAUAGCCCGGCGAAAGCCGGAUUAAUACCGCAUACGAUCUACGGAUGAAAGCGGGGGACCUUCGGGCCUCGCGCUAUAGGGUUGGCCGAUGGCUGAUUAGCUGGUUGGUGGGGUAAAGGCCUACCAAGGCGACGAUCAGUAGCUGGUCUGAGAGGACGACCAGCGACACUGGGAGUGGAACACGGCCCAGACUCCUACGGGAGGCAGCAGUGGGGAAUUUUGGACAAUGGGCGAAAGCCUGAUCCAGCAAUGCCGCGUGUGUGAAGAAGGCCUUCGGGUUGUAAAGCACUUUUGUCCGGAAAGAAAUCCUUGGCCCUAAUACGGUCGGGGGAUGACGGUACCGGAAGAAUAAGCACCGGCUAACUACGUG
Molecule: ribosomal RNA, 486 nt
Filed under: uncultured bacterium
Lineage: Bacteria
Description: partial 16S ribosomal RNA
Rfam family: Bacterial small subunit ribosomal RNA
Source: RNAcentral